CGAGGGGUAACGGGGAGCUUGCUCCGCCGACGACCGGCGCACGGGUGCGCACCGCGUAUGGAACCUACCUUGUACAGGGGAAUAGCCCAGGGAAACUUGGAUUAAUGCCCCGUAGUACUAUUAUUCGGCAUCGUUUNAUAGUUAAAGAUUUCGGUCGGUACAAGAUGGCCAUGCGUCCCAUUAGCUUGUUGGUAAGGUAACGGCUUACCAAGGCUACGAUGGGUAGGGGCCCUGAGAGGGGGAUCCCCCACACUGGUACUGAGACNNGGACCAGACUCCUACGGGAGGCAGCAGUGAGGAAUAUUGGACAAUGGAGGAGACUCUGAUCCAGCCAUGCCGCGUGCAGGAAGAAUGCCCUAUGGGUAGUAAACUGCUUUUAUAC
RNAcentral lists this ribosomal RNA (382 nucleotides) under Bacteroidetes bacterium 7_(MB)_12.9mbsf. Its description in RNAcentral is "bacterial SSU rRNA". It matches the Rfam family "Bacterial small subunit ribosomal RNA", at positions 63 to 441 of the family's 1533-position model. The record is from RNAcentral. Lineage: Bacteria; Pseudomonadati; Bacteroidota.